RNAcentral lists this ribosomal RNA (496 nucleotides) under uncultured bacterium. Its description in RNAcentral is "partial 16S ribosomal RNA". It matches the Rfam family "Bacterial small subunit ribosomal RNA", at positions 29 to 507 of the family's 1533-position model. The record is from RNAcentral.
AUGAACGCUGGCGGCGUGCCUAAUCCAUGCCAGUCGAGCGAACAGACGAGGAGCUUGCUCCUCUGACGUUAGCGGCGGACGGGUGAGUAACACGUGGAUAACCUACCUAUAAGACUGUGAUAACUUCGGGAAACCGGAGCUAAUACCGGAUAAUAUAUUGAACCGCAUGGUUCAAUAGUGAAAGACGGUUUUGCUGUCACUUAUAGAUGGAUCCGCGCCGCAUUAGCUAGUUGGUAAGGUAACGGCUUACCAAGGCGACGAUGCGUAGCCGACCUGAGAGGGUGAUCGGCCACACUGGAACUGAGACACGGUCCAGACUCCUACGGGAGGCAGCAGUAGGGAAUCUUCCGCAAUGGGCGAAAGCCUGACGGAGCAACGCCGCGUGAGUGAUGAAGGUCUUCGGAUCGUAAAACUCUGUUAUUAGGGAAGAACAAAUGUGUAAGUAACUAUGCACGUCUUGACGGUACCUAAUCAGAAAGCCACGGCUAACUACGUG